GUGGGGAAUUUUGGACAAUGGGCGCAAGCCUGAUCCAGCCAUGCCGCGUGAGUGAAGAAGGCCUUCGGGUUGUAAAGCUCUUUCGGCCGGGAAGAAAUCGGCGACUCUAACAUAGUCGCUGGAUGACGGUACCGGACUAAGAAGCACCGGCUAACUACGUGCCAGCAGCCGCGGUAAUACGUAGGGUGCGAGCGUUAAUCGGAAUUACUGGGCGGAAAGCGUGCGCAGGCGGUUUUGUAAGACAGAUGUGAAAUACCCGGGCUUAGACUGGGAAAUGCGUUUGUGGCUGCAAGGGUAGAGUACGGCAGAGGGGGGUGGAAUUCCUGGUGUAGCAGUGAAAUGCGUAGAUAUCAGGAGGAACACCGAUGGCGAAGGCAGCCCCCUGGGCCUGUACUGACGCUCAUGCACGAAAGCGUGGGGAGCAAACAGGAUUAGAAACCCGUGUAGUCC
Molecule: ribosomal RNA, 450 nt
Filed under: uncultured bacterium
Lineage: Bacteria
Description: partial 16S ribosomal RNA
Rfam family: Bacterial small subunit ribosomal RNA
Source: RNAcentral